This 508-nucleotide ribosomal RNA is filed under the name uncultured bacterium. Its description in RNAcentral is "partial 16S ribosomal RNA". It matches the Rfam family "Bacterial small subunit ribosomal RNA", at positions 28 to 507 of the family's 1533-position model. The record is from RNAcentral.
GACGAACGCUGGCGGCGUGCUUAACACAUGCAAGUCGAACGGGCCUUGUCCCCUUUUUUUUUGGGGGUGGGGUUAGUGGCGAACGGGUGAGUAACACGUGAGUAACCUGCCCCUCACUUCUGGAUAACCGCUUGAAAGGGUGGCUAAUACGGGGUGUUCUGGCCUGCUCGCAUGGGUGGGUUUGGAAAGAUUCGACCGGUUUUGGUUGUUUUGGUGGGGGAUUGGCUCGCGGCCUACCAGCUUGUUGGUGGGGUGAUGGCCUGCCAAGGCUUUGACGGGUGGCCGGCCUGAGAGGGUGGGCGGUCACACUGGGACUGAGACACGGCCCAGACUCCUACGGGAGGCAGCAGUGGGGAAUAUUGCACAAGGGGCGCAAGCCUGAUGCAGCGACGCCGCGUGAGGGAUGGAGGCCUUCGGGUUGUGAACCUCUUUCGCCAGUGAAGAAGGUCCUGCUCUUUGUGGUGGGGUUGACGGUAGCUGGGUUAAUGAAGCGCCGGCUAACUACGUG